Globicephala melas (long-finned pilot whale) is the source of this 5120-nucleotide long non-coding RNA. RefSeq lists it as uncharacterized. Lineage: Eukaryota; Metazoa; Chordata; Mammalia; Artiodactyla; Delphinidae. The record is from RefSeq and is a predicted model, not a curated record.
CUCUCACUGCUGUGGCCUCUCCCGUUGCGGAGCACAGGCUCCGGACGCGCAGGCUCAGCGGCCAUGGCUCAUGGGCCCAGCCGCUCCGCGGCAUGUGGGAUCCUCCCGGACCGGGACACGAACCCGCGUCCCCUGCAUCGGCAGGCGGACUCUCAACCACUGCGCCACCAGGGAAGCCCAACAGGUGCUUUUUAAUAAGCAUGUCUCCUAAAAGUGUUUCAUUGAGAAGGAGCGGACGAUGUGAAAAUUGUGAAUGAACCCCAGGGUAACGGCGUACAGAUGAGGAAAGUGGUUUGGAAGACACGUAGGGAUAUUAACAUCGUGUGCUGAACUGACUGUUUUUUUCCACUGGAAAUCAAAACAAGGGCAUCCCAAGAGUUGCUAAACACAGUAGAAUUCUGAAGAGCUCACAGAAGAAGCGUGACGCACGUUUGGCUCAUUUGUUAUUAAACUUCCAUUCCUAAGACUCACAUCUGAGACAUAAAAUAAUUUCCUCUUUUGCCCUAAAAGUACUUUGUUUCGGCUAUGGGCAGUAUUUGGCAAACCAACCUCGGACAGCAGAAAAACCGUAUGUGUGUGGUGCCCGUGGCCCUCUAGCUGUGGCCUAUUGCUCCUAACUUCAUCUUUUGGCGCUUCUGUGAACAAGGAGGCCGGACGGGAGAGAAACAUUCCCUGUGUUGGCUGCUCUGUUCGUAUUAUUACAGCUCUGAUGCUAUAGAGAAAAAUAUAAAAACCACAUAAGGAUUUAUAUAUCUCCCACUCGUAGAUAGGCUCAAAGCAAACUUAGAAAAGCGUUCAGCAUAAUAUGCAUAGGAUAUAUUUAGUAUUUGCAUAAUUUUUCAAGUUAUAUGGCUAAUAUCAAAGGCAAAUGUCUUCCUACGUUUGUCAGUGUUUCCAUUCCCAUGGUAAUUUCUCUUGCCUGUGUCCCACCCCUCAGUACUCAGGGCCGCCUGCACUUUUUAUUCUGAGCAGCCAAUUAGGAGAGGUGACCCAUCCAUUCCGUUCACAGUGACAGCACAGAGGCGGCCUCCUCUUUGUGAUGUGGUCCAGGCACGGACCAAAGUUAGAGCAUGGAGGGCAAAGCUUGUCCCCCUCCCCUGCCCGUCCACAGCCCCUUAUGGUAAGUUCCAUAGUUCACACAGUGGUAAAUAGCCUUCUCCCAUUUAACUUCAACUCUUAGACGUGAGCACCGCCCACGCUGCAGAGCCGUCCGGUCUCGUGGCUUCCGGUGGCAAACCGGGCUUUGUAGGUUCUCUCCGGGGGAAACCUCCUGGCUGGAGACUCAGAAUGUUUUCUGUUGGUUUUUUUUCCCCCUUUAAAACAUGAAAUUGUUGGAAAAAACCCCAGCUAGACUGGGGACAGGGAGGCCGUCCACAACUUACGGGCCCUCUGGCUGUGUCCUGGCGGGUGGCUACGGAGGGUCCACGUCUGCAGCAUCGCGGGGAAGGAGGCGCGCGCCGGCCUACGGGCAGGGGUCCAGGGGGGCGCCGUUUGCAGUGCUCUGGCCCCGGUGUCUGGAGAGCAGCUUCUUGUUCAGGAACCGGGCAAGCGUCGACCCCUUCCUCCGCAGCCCCGCCGGCUGCUGCAGGAACACCAGGUCGUUGUGGGACUGGCUCAGGCCGGGGUCUUUCUGCUGGUGCCGCCGGCGGAAGAACAGCUUCGCGCCCUUCCUUAAAAUCCCUCCUGCAAGAGCAAGGCACGGGGUCAGCGGGGCUGCGGGUGAAAAGCCCGGUGGGCGACGCGUCCAGGAGGAAAGGAAGGCAGGCGGCUCCCUCCAGCGACUCUAAUAGAAGGCAGCCUGUGACUGCAGCGCGCCUCCCUGUUGGCACAAGAAAGGCAGCUGGGUCUGGCCUGAGCACAGCACAGGUGCUUCCAAGGCGCAGUGAGCAGAUACAAAGAAUACUUCAACACCUAUGACAUACGCAGACACCAUCCUGGUUUAUCCAGACGGGAGGCUGGAAGGCAUCACUUGCUUUUCUACGUGAAAUGUAUGGACAGUUGUGGAAUCUGACUCAGCCUUAUGCACAGACCCUUGCAUAAUCAGCACUUACCUCGGGAAAACCAGCACGCCCGUGACUUUAAGAGGCCAUUUACUGGACCUGAACUUAAGGAUGCAUGUCCCAGGGGAUAUAUAUAUAUAUAUAUAUAUAUAUAUAUGUAGAGCUGGUUCACUUUGCUGUACAGUAGAAACUAACACAACAUUGCAAAGCAACUGUACUUCCAUAAAAAAAAUUUUAAAAAAGAAAUUUUCCAAUUAACAAUGAAGAAAAAAAAAAAGGAUGCGUGUCCUACUUGCUCUGCCUGGGUUAAGCAGCAGAACACAGCUCAAAGCUCCAGGAAUGCGCCGAGUUUAACUUGGUGAAAGCUGUCCAAGAGAUUUGUUUUUCAUUUGCUCUUUGUGUCCAAUCAACCUACUGCGAAGACUCACUCAGACAUUUUCUACCAUUGUCUAAAGCUGGAGGCGGUGUACGGGGGGCUGAGGAAGGCUGCAAAGGGAUGAAGCAGAAGGAAACGGGAAAUUUGGACAGAGACACACAGGGAGACGCCAUGUGACGAUGAGGGCAGAGCUCAAGGUGAUGCGUCUGCAAGCCUCGGAGUGACAACGAUGGUUAACAAACCCUCAGAAGCUGGGGGAGAGCCUGGGACAGAUUCUCCCUCGUAGCCUCAGGAGGAACCAGCCCUGCCACACCUUUAUCGUGGACUUCCAGCCUCCAGAGCUCAGAGAGAAGAAAUCUCUGUUGUUUAAACCACCCCAUCUGCGGUACUUUGUUACAGCAGCCCCAGGAAUCUAACACAGACAAGAAAGGGCAGGGGAGGAUGUGACUUAAGAUGAGCGUCCUGAAGCAGCGGCCACGUCCUCCUGUUUAUCCUCGGACCCUGGACACCCCGUGUUAGAUCAGGGCAGAGGGCAGAUGCUACAGCCGUCUUCUCAGCCCCAAGACACGCUGGAGUCCGGCAGCAACCUGGAAAAACUCCAGACGUCCAGGUCCCAGCCCCGGGGAAUCUGAUGUGAGGGGUUCUGGGGAGACAUCUGGACAUCAGCAUCUUUUAAAAAAUCCCAGGUCUUUCUAACAUGCAGCUGGGGCUGGAAACCAUCCACCAAGGUCUGGUCAAACCGCCAUCAGUACUUGGACACAGACUAAGGACACAGACGUCAGCACCGGGGACCAGACCAGAGGGCAGAAGGGAAGCAGAGACUCGGAGGGGUGACGUGCUCGCCCUACAAAGCCGUGCUCUCGAGCCUGGCUCUUCUGUGCCGCUAAGGAUGGCAUCUGAGCUGGAAGUGGCCAGUAGGCGUCUGGAGCGCCGGUCUGCGGGUGGCCGCUGGCGAAGCCUCUGGAGGGCGAGACGGAUGCCGCUCCCAGAGGGAUCGCAGAGCACAGCCCUGCUCUCUGGGAACGACUCUGGCAGGCUUUCCAGAAUGAUGUGAAUCUCCCGAGAGGCAUGCUGGCGGCCUGGGUAGGACAGAACAUUCUAGCAACGUGAGCCCAUCUCCAGGGUGCACAGACUAACUCAGCAAACAUGAAAUAUAACCAGCACAAACAGAGGUUAUUCCAUUUUCAUGACUAAAUAAAAAUGUUAUCGUCCGUUUAAACUUGGCCAGUAAAGCACACGACCUUUGGGGUAAGUAACGCCGGAAGGACGUGGCCACAGGUGGGCCCAGCGGACGCUGAUGUGGCCGCACCACAGGUGGGUGUGAGGUCGUAGCUCAGACGGGCCAGGGCCCCCUCGGCUGCUGGCAGGUGGCGCCGUAAGGCGCCGCUGUGACCAAUGGACAUCGGAGCUCGGUUUUCUGUGCCAGUUUGUCCCAGAACGCCCAGUGACUCCAUCCCAGUACUGAGCUGAGUGCCGCAGGGCAAGGCUCCUGGUCGAUGUGGUCCAGAUCUCCCUCAGUGCCUGAGCUCUAGGAGAUAACCCGGAGUGAGGUGGGUGGGCUUCAUCCCAUCACUGAAUGCCUGAGAACAAAAAGGAAGGUUCCCGGGGCAGAGAUUCUGCCCCAAGACUGCGGCGCCAGCUCCUGCCUGCCCUGCAAUUUCAGACUCAUCAACACGAACCGGUUCCUUGAAAUACAGAACCUAUUGGUUCUGCUUCCCUGGAGAACCCUGGCCGAGAGAAGAACUCCAGUUUGGUAUGUCACAGUUGACUCUGGGCCCACAGAAUCUGUCACCCUUUGCUGAAAGGGAAAUUCACAUCAAUGGGGCAAGGCCGCUGGGGCCGUUUGGGUUUAAUAAGCCCACCUCCUUCACUCUGGGCUACCUCAUCCGCACAACAAGAAGCAAGACGCAGGCCUCACUCCCAAUCUUAAAGAUGCCUGAAGGUAAGAUCUGGAAACAGGUUAUGUGAAAUUUCAGGCAAAGAACCAAAAUCUUAGAUGGGACAGGGAAGAAAACAAAUCUUUCCCGGGUUCUAAAAACAAUCAUAAGACUAAAGGUUAAUACAAAGACAUCAUAAGGCUAAGGUAUAAACAGAUAUAUGAAGGAAUUAAAAAUAAUUAUUCUAAAUUAUAGCUUUAAUGUUGCAAACAUUCCCAAAUUUAUUCCCACUCAUCUCAGUUCAACAGACGUAAAUUGCUCAUUGAAGAAUGCAUCUUAACAUCUUAUAGGUAGGAAAACAGUGACCAAAAGCAACCUUAUAAAUUAUAGUUUGCUGCCCAAAGAACAGCUUUAGAUUACAAGGGGAACCACGGAAGGCCCAGUUACAGAAGUGACGACUUUUUAGCACCAAGGACGAUUAAGGGAGUCGGUCUGUCUGAAUUUCUUGGCGAGGUGGUUUUGUCACGUCAGCUAACACAGGGAUGCCUUCCCCUGAGAUGAUGACCCUCUACUACCAGACCAGGGCACUUUGAAGGAGGAAGAUGGGAAAACUGGCACCCGGGGACGGUCCAAGUGGAAAGCGAUGGGAGGGAAAAGGAAGAGGGGGAGGGGUGAACUUCCGGCUUAGUUACGAUAUGUGCUCUUCUCAUAGCAAGGCUAUACUUAAUUAAAAAUAUAUAUAUAAAACAAAAAUAACUUACUGUGUAGGCAAUUAAUUCUGGUUGGCAUAGCGAUCCUCUUAAGUUAAAGGGCAUGAGCAGGGAUGGAGAGAAGGAAGAGGUGAAAAGAAAAGUUUGCAACAGCAAA